Molecule: ribosomal RNA, 451 nt
Filed under: uncultured bacterium
Lineage: Bacteria
Description: bacterial SSU rRNA
Rfam family: Bacterial small subunit ribosomal RNA
Source: RNAcentral
ACCAUGCAAGUCGAGCGAUGAAACACCUUCGGGUGUGAAUUAGCGGCGAACGGGUGAGGAACACGUGAGAAAUCUGCCUUCAACUCUGGGAUAACUCCGGGAAACCGGGGCUAAUACCGGAUAUGAGCCUCGAUCGCAUGAUCAGGGCUGGAAAGUUUUUCGGUUGAAGAUGAUCUCGCGGCCUAUCAGCUUGUUGGUGAGGUAAUGGCUCACCAAGGCGACGACGGGUAGCCGGCCUGAGAGGGCGACCGGCCACACUGGGACUGAGACACGGCCCAGACUCCUACGGGAGGCAGCAGUGGGGAAUAUUGGACAAUGGGCGCAAGCCUGAUCCAGCCAUGCCGCGUGAGUGAUGAAGGCCCUAGGGCUGUAAAGCUCUUUCACCGGUGAAGAUAAUGACGGUAACCGGAGAAGAAGCCCCGGCUAACUUCGUGCCAGCAGCCGCGGUAAU